Molecule: unclassified non-coding RNA, 307 nt
Filed under: plant metagenome
Description: partial contains 5.8S ribosomal RNA, internal transcribed spacer 2, and large subunit ribosomal RNA
Rfam family: 5.8S ribosomal RNA (bases 1-105)
Source: RNAcentral
GAAAUGCGAUAAGUAAUGUGAAUUGCAGAAUUCCGUGAAUCAUCGAGUCUUUGAACGCACAUUGCGCCCGCCAGCACUCUGGCGGGCAUGCCUGUUCGAGCGUCAUUUCAACCCUCAGAACCCCUUGCGGGAUCUGGCGUUGGGGAUUGGCAUCCAGCCAGCCCCGAAAUCUAGUGGCGGUCCCUCCGCGACCUCCCCUGUGCAGUAGCGAUACCUCGCAGCGGGACAGCGGUCUGACCACGCCGUAAAACCCCCAACUUCUCAAGGUUGACCUCGAAUCAGGUAGGAAUACCCGCUGAACUUAAGC